This 28-nucleotide non-coding RNA is filed under the name Rattus norvegicus (Norway rat). The record is from RNAcentral. Lineage: Eukaryota; Metazoa; Chordata; Mammalia; Rodentia; Muridae.
UGUUGCUGGAAGUAAAGGUGUGCACCUC